This is a long non-coding RNA of Carcharodon carcharias (great white shark), 150 nucleotides long. RefSeq lists it as uncharacterized. NCBI's taxonomy places the organism in Eukaryota, Metazoa, Chordata, Chondrichthyes, Lamniformes, Lamnidae. The transcript has 3 exons. The record is from RefSeq and is a predicted model, not a curated record.
AUGUGCAAUUUGCUUAUUAAUGGAUAUUCUAAAAGUUCAAUUUCAGAAAUGAAGUAUCUUACGUUUUGCCAUUGUUCAUCUUGCCAGGUAAGACUGAGGACCUGAACACAAAAUCUAGGCUGAUACUCCAGUGCAGUACUGAAGGAGUGC